UUUCCGUAGGUGAACCUGCGGAAGGAUCAUUACUGAGUGAGGGCCCUCUGGGUCCAACCUCCCACCCGUGUUUAUUGUACCUUGUUGCUUCGGUGCGCCCGCCUCACGGCCGCCGGGGGGCUUCUGCCCCCGGGUCCGCGCGCACCGGAGACACUAUUGAACUCUGUCUGAAGAUUGCAGUCUGAGCAUAAACUAAAUAAGUUAAAACUUUCAACAACGGAUCUCUUGGUUCCGGCAUCGAGAAGAACGCAGC
Molecule: unclassified non-coding RNA, 253 nt
Filed under: plant metagenome
Description: partial contains small subunit ribosomal RNA, internal transcribed spacer 1, and 5.8S ribosomal RNA
Source: RNAcentral